GUCUUUCCAACACGGGCUCAACCAUGGCUGGGGUAUCCGGGGCCCAAUUAUCAUCAAGUGCCCCUUUGUCUGCUCAUUAAUAUGAGGGGAUAAAUCUCAAAACUCCAAUUAUUACUGCGGAGCUCUAGGAGAGUUCUUGUCAAAACGUCUCCCCUUUGCCUUUACCCAUUUCAAACUUACACUUUUGAUUUCACUUACUGCUUUGUGCUCUCAUAUUGCUUCUGCUAUCUUGCCCUUUCUUUU
This 243-nucleotide long non-coding RNA is filed under the name Manihot esculenta (cassava). Its description in RNAcentral is "long non-coding RNA (MESC_LNC005080)". Lineage: Eukaryota; Viridiplantae; Streptophyta; Magnoliopsida; Malpighiales; Euphorbiaceae. The record is from RNAcentral.